This 2460-nucleotide ribosomal RNA is filed under the name Salmonella enterica subsp. enterica serovar Typhimurium. Its description in RNAcentral is "partial 23S ribosomal RNA". It matches the Rfam family "Bacterial large subunit ribosomal RNA", at positions 576 to 2925 of the family's 2925-position model. The record is from RNAcentral. Lineage: Bacteria; Pseudomonadati; Pseudomonadota; Gammaproteobacteria; Enterobacterales; Enterobacteriaceae.
GGAGCACAGGUUUACCUGUGUGACUGCGUACCUUUUGUAUAAUGGGUCAGCGACUUAUAUUCUGUAGCAAGGUUAACCGUAUAGGGGAGCCGUAGGGAAACCGAGUCUUAACCGGGCGUUAAGUUGCAGGGUAUAGACCCGAAACCCGGUGAUCUAGCCAUGGGCAGGUUGAAGGUUGGGUAACACUAACUGGAGGACCGAACCGACUAAUGUUGAAAAAUUAGCGGAUGACCUGUGGCUGGGGGUGAAAGGCCAAUCAAACCGGGAGAUAGCUGGUUCUCCCCGAAAGCUAUUUAGGUAGCGCCUCGUGAAUUCAUCUCCGGGGGUAGAGCACUGUUUCGGCUAGGGGGCCAUCCCGGCUUACCAACCCGAUGCAAACUGCGAAUACCGGAGAAUGUUAUCACGGGAGACACACGGCGGGUGCUAACGUCCGUCGUGAAGAGGGAAACAACCCAGACCGCCAGCUAAGGUCCCAAAGUCAUGGUUAAGUGGGAAACGAUGUGGGAAGGCCCAGACAGCCAGGAUGUUGGCUUAGAAGCAGCCAUCAUUUAAAGAAAGCGUAAUAGCUCACUGGUCGAGUCGGCCUGCGCGGAAGAUGUAACGGGGCUAAACCAUGCACCGAAGCUGCGGCAGCGAACGUAUCACCCAAGACAACUUUACGGAGUUGACGAUUGACGGAGCGAAGCGACGUCAAAGCGUUCAUUAAAGUCGAGUUGGCUUAGGGAUACGUUCGUUGGGUAGGGGAGCGUUCUGUAAGCCUGUGAAGGUGUGUCGUGAGGCAUGCUGGAGGUAUCAGAAGUGCGAAUGCUGACAUAAGUAACGAUAAAGCGGGUGAAAAGCCCGCUCGCCGGAAGACCAAGGGUUCCUGUCCAACGUUAAUCGGGGCAGGGUGAGUCGACCCCUAAGGCGAGGCCGAAAGGCGUAGUCGAUGGGAAACGGGUUAAUAUUCCCGUACUUGGUGUUACUGCGAAGGGGGGACGGAGAAGGCUAUGUUGGCCGGGCGACGGUUGUCCCGGUUUAAGCGUGUAGGUGUGUGUUCCAGGUAAAUCCGGUUCACUUUAACACUGAGGCGUGACGACGAGGCACUACGGUGCUGAAGCAACAAAUGCCCUGCUUCCAGGAAAAGCCUCUAAGCAUCAGGUAACACGAAAUCGUACCCCAAACCGACACAGGUGGUCAGGUAGAGAAUACCAAGGCGCUUGAGAGAACUCGGGUGAAGGAACUAGGCAAAAUGGUGCCGUAACUUCGGGAGAAGGCACGCUGACACGUAGGUGAAGUGAUUUACUCAUGGAGCUGAAGUCAGUCGAAGAUACCAGCUGGCUGCAACUGUUUAUUAAAAACACAGCACUGUGCAAACACGAAAGUGGACGUAUACGGUGUGACGCCUGCCCGGUGCCGGAAGGUUAAUUGAUGGGGUCAGCGUAAGCGAAGCUCCUGAUCGAAGCCCCGGUAAACGGCGGCCGUAACUAUAACGGUCCUAAGGUAGCGAAAUUCCUUGUCGGGUAAGUUCCGACCUGCACGAAUGGCGUAAUGAUGGCCAGGCUGUCUCCACCCGAGACUCAGUGAAAUUGAACUCGCUGUGAAGAUGCAGUGUACCCGCGGCAAGACGGAAAGACCCCGUGAACCUUUACUAUAGCUUGACACUGAACAUUGAGCCUUGAUGUGUAGGAUAGGUGGGAGGCUUUGAAGUGUGGACGCCAGUCUGCAUGGAGCCGACCUUGAAAUACCACCCUUUAAUGUUUGAUGUUCUAACGUGGACCCGUAAUCCGGGUUGCGGACAGUGUCUGGUGGGUAGUUUGACUGGGGCGGUCUCCUCCUAAAGAGUAACGGAGGAGCACGAAGGUUGGCUAAUCCUGGUCGGACAUCAGGAGGUUAGUGCAAUGGCAUAAGCCAGCUUGACUGCGAGCGUGACGGCGCGAGCAGGUGCGAAAGCAGGUCAUAGUGAUCCGGUGGUUCUGAAUGGAAGGGCCAUCGCUCAACGGAUAAAAGGUACUCCGGGGAUAACAGGCUGAUACCGCCCAAGAGUUCAUAUCGACGGCGGUGUUUGGCACCUCGAUGUCGGCUCAUCACAUCCUGGGGCUGAAGUAGGUCCCAAGGGUAUGGCUGUUCGCCAUUUAAAGUGGUACGCGAGCUGGGUUUAGAACGUCGUGAGACAGUUCGGUCCCUAUCUGCCGUGGGCGCUGGAGAACUGAGGGGGGCUGCUCCUAGUACGAGAGGACCGGAGUGGACGCAUCACUGGUGUUCGGGUUGUCAUGCCAAUGGCACUGCCCGGUAGCUAAAUGCGGAAGAGAUAAGUGCUGAAAGCAUCUAAGCACGAAACUUGCCCCGAGAUGAGUUCUCCCUGAGACUUAGAGUCUCCUGAAGGAACGUUGAAGACGACGACGUUGAUAGGCCGGGUGUGUAAGCGCAGCGAUGCGUUGAGCUAACCGGUACUAAUGAACCGUGAGGCUUAACCUUACA